RNAcentral lists this ribosomal RNA (497 nucleotides) under uncultured bacterium. RNAcentral describes it as "partial 16S ribosomal RNA". It matches the Rfam family "Bacterial small subunit ribosomal RNA", at positions 28 to 507 of the family's 1533-position model. The record is from RNAcentral.
GAUGAACGCUGGCGGCGUGCCUAAUACAUGCAAGUCGAGCGAACAGAUGAGGAGCUUGCUCCUCUGACGUUAGCGGCGGACGGGUGAGUAACACGUGGAUAACCUACCUAUAAGACUGGGAUAACUUCGGGAAACCGGAGCUAAUACCGGAUAAUAUAUUGAACCGCAUGGUUCAAUAGUGAAAGACGGUUUUGCUGUCACUUAUAGAUGGAUCCGCGCCGCAUUAGCUAGUUGGUAAGGUAACGGCUUACCAAGGCAACGAUGCGUAGCCGACCUGAGAGGGUGAUCCGCCACACUGGAACUGAGACACGGUCCAGACUCCUACGGGAGGCAGCAGUAGGGAAUCUUCCGCAAUGGGCGAAAGCUUGACGGAGCAACGCCGCGUGAGUGAUGAAGGUCUUCGGAUCGUAAAACUCUGUUAUUAGGGAAGAACAAAUGUGUAAGUAACUAUGCACGUCUUGACGGUACCUAAUCAGAAAGCCACGGCUAACUACGUG